Molecule: ribosomal RNA, 492 nt
Filed under: uncultured bacterium
Lineage: Bacteria
Description: partial 16S ribosomal RNA
Rfam family: Bacterial small subunit ribosomal RNA
Source: RNAcentral
AGUGAACGCUGGCGGUAGGCCUAACACAUGCAAGUCGAACGGCAGCACAGUAAGAGCUUGCUCUUACGGGUGGCGAGUGGCGGACGGGUGAGGAAUACAUCGGAAUCUACUUUUUCGUGGGGGAUAACGUAGGGAAACUUACGCUAAUACCGCAUACGACCUACGGGUGAAAGCAGGGGAUCUUCGGACCUUGCGCGAUUGAAUGAGCCGAUGUCGGAUUAGCUAGUUGGCGGGGUAAAGGCCCACCAAGGCGACGAUCCUGAGCUGGUCUGAGAGGAUGAUCAGCCACACUGGAACUGAGACACGGUCCAGACUCCGACGGGAGGCAGCAGUGGGGAAUAUUGGACAAUGGGCGCAAGCCUGAUCCAGCCAUACCGCGUGGGUGAAGAAGGCCUUCGGGUUGUAAAGCCCUUUUGUUGGGAAAGAAAAGCAGCAGGUUAAUACCCCGCUAUUCUGACGGUACCCAAAGAAUAAGCACCGGCUAACUUCGUG